Long non-coding RNA from Arachis duranensis, 1101 nucleotides. RefSeq lists it as uncharacterized. The record is from RefSeq and is a predicted model, not a curated record. NCBI's taxonomy places the organism in Eukaryota, Viridiplantae, Streptophyta, Magnoliopsida, Fabales, Fabaceae. The transcript is spliced from 3 exons.
AAAGGGAAAGAAAGGAAACAGGGGAGUUCGAGGGGGGGAAACAAAAAGGAAAAAGAAAGAAAGGGAACAGAGAAGGAGCAAAGGGAAAACGAGAAACUGAGGAAAGGAAGAAGAGGGAUCAGGGAAGCCAGAGGAAAGGGCGACGACGGAGGGUGUAAUUACGGCCGCUGCCGUUGAAAUCGGAAGGGAAGCACCACAGAGAACAGAGAGACGCGAACGAUUGAGGGAGAAGGUAGCGUCGCCACCGUGCCUCGUCAUCGUCGCUGAAGCUUCGAUCGCUAUUGUCCCUGCUAGGUUGCCACUGACGUCGAACAGAACAGGGGAGAGGAGCACAAAUUGGAAGAGGAAAGGGAGCUCUAUUACGGGCACGUCGCCAGGAAAAGAAGAGGCGAUGUUGGUGGGGAUCGCCGCUGGUGUCAUCGCCGUGACUGGGGUUCGUGGUCGCUACUGCUGUUGGUGACGGACUAGGUCGCGUCCUAGCUACCGGAGCCGCCAUCACCGUGGCCUUGUUACUCCGGGUCAACCAUGUCUCUGCCUCUGAUGUACCUUGUCAUGCCAUAUCCGUUGGAGCUGCCGUGCUUGGAGCUUGCUAUCAGAGAAAGCAAUUUGUUGCCACCAUCUUUCAAUCUGGCCAGCAUCAUCCUCUUUGUUCCAGUCCCAAUGCCAAUUUUUUGUUUCUUAAACAUUUGUCAAUUUAUCUCCUGAGAAAUCACAAUUGGUGUUGAGGUCGUUGAUGUUGCUGCUGUUAUGCUAUAGCUAGCUGCAAGAGUUUUACUGCUGCGGGUUAGAAAUUGAUGGCUGCCGCAUCCCAAAUUUCUGUGUAUUUCGAUAAAGUGAGUGACACAGGUUUGAAGACACAAUUUGAAGCUGCGAGCGAUUAGUAGGUUUUCUUUAUGGUUUUAAUUGGUCUGGUAGAGUCCCCUCACUGAUUGUCCCUUGAGAUUUUAUUUCAUAUAGAGGGGUAGGUUUGGUAUAUUAUAUUUGAGUCUUAUUUGGUUUCUUUUGUAAAAGAAUUACUAUUAAUAUUAUUUAUGUGAUUAUUAUUACUUGUGAAUAUUUGAAUUAUGAAUUUAAUAAAUAAAAAACAAAAUUUUUCUGGAA